UCUCCUAUAGCUCAGUUGGUAGAGCGGCUGGCUGUUAACCAGCGUGUCGCAGGUUCAAGUCCUGCUGGGGGAG
Molecule: transfer RNA, 73 nt
Filed under: Caudoviricetes sp.
Lineage: Duplodnaviria; Heunggongvirae; Uroviricota; Caudoviricetes
Description: tRNA-Asn
Rfam family: tRNA
About the family: Transfer RNA (tRNA) molecules are approximately 80 nucleotides in length. Their secondary structure includes four short double-helical elements and three loops (D, anti-codon, and T loops). Further hydrogen bonds mediate the characteristic L-shaped molecular structure. tRNAs have two regions of fundamental functional importance: the anti-codon, which is responsible for specific mRNA codon recognition, and the 3' end, to which the tRNAs corresponding amino acid is attached (by aminoacyl-tRNA synthetases). tRNAs cope with the degeneracy of the genetic code in two manners: having more than one tRNA (with a specific anti-codon) for a particular amino acid; and 'wobble' base-pairing, i.e. permitting non-standard base-pairing at the 3rd anti-codon position.
Source: RNAcentral